UGGGGAAUCUUGCGCAAUGCGCGAAAGCGUGACGCAGCAACGCCGCGUGAGGGAAGAAGGCCUUCGGGUUGUAAACCUCUUUCAGUUGGGACGAAGGUUCACGAGUUAAUAGCUUGUUGGACUGACGGUACCUUCACAAGAAGCACCGGCUAACUACGUGCCAGCAGCCGCGGUAAUACGUAGGGUGCAAGCGUUGUCCGGAAUUAUUGGGCGUAAAGCGCGUGUAGGCGGCCUGCUAAGUCCGCUCUGAAAGCCCAGGGCUCAACCCUGGGAGGCGGGUGGAUACUGGCAGGCUCGAGUCCGGAAGAGGCGAGUGGAAUUCCUGGUGUAGCGGUGAAAUGCGCAGAUAUCAGGAGGAACACCAAUGGCGAAGGCAGCUCGCUGGGACGUGACUGACGCUGAGACGCGAAAGCGUGGGGAGCAAACAG
Molecule: ribosomal RNA, 428 nt
Filed under: uncultured bacterium
Lineage: Bacteria
Description: bacterial SSU rRNA
Rfam family: Bacterial small subunit ribosomal RNA
Source: RNAcentral